This 2416-nucleotide small RNA is filed under the name Oryza sativa Japonica Group (Japanese rice). Its description in RNAcentral is "sRNA Os11g0697100". Lineage: Eukaryota; Viridiplantae; Streptophyta; Magnoliopsida; Poales; Poaceae. The record is from RNAcentral.
CUUCCUUCUUCCUGAAUUUUUCCCCUCACUCUCUUAUCUCAUCUUUUCCCCACUUGCUUGCUUCCUGAAAUUUUCCUUUUCCCUCUCUCCUUCCUGCGUCGCCGCCGGUCACCUGAGUCGCCUCGGUGUACUUCCCUUCCAGCUUAUUGUGGGGAAACCUUGAAGGGCUCCCUGGGGUCAGAUCCGUUUGCUCAUGGAUCGGAGGUGUGCGGCACUGGGGAUAUUGAUGUGCGACGAACCGUCGUCGGUAUCGGAGGACCUUCGGCACAGCAAGGGUCCUUUGACGAAGCAUCUCGUUUGCUGUCCAUGAUUGGAGCAGUGGCUCAUGGUUUCAGGUAAAUAGGAAUAUUCAUGCAUAUCAUUCGUUUUUGUCUCUUAUGCAAAAUAUAAAGUUCUCUUCUUGCUUGUUGGCUGUUUGAUUUGAUUAGCAGUGUGAAGCUGGCAGUCUUCCGUUGGGGAUAUCAUUAGGAUUGAUUCAUUUGUCUCUUUUAUUGAAGGAAAAGUGUACUGCUCUUUGACGCACUCCAUCAAAAAUAUUUUACAUCAAGAAGUUUAUCUUCUCAAUCUUUGCUGGGGGAAACAUUUGAAGAUAUAUGGCUAUUUGAGAUUUUUGCUAAUUGAUUUUUUAUGCUUCAAAUAUUUUUAUUGGUUGACUGAGAUGAAUUUUUAUUAGAUUAGUAGAUAUAUAUGGAUAUUAAAAAUAUACUAUUUCAGAACAGUAUCAAGACAAAUAGAACAUUUCCUUAAAUAAAUUGAUAUUAGAUAAUGUGAACCUACCAGCACCCUAUCUUAAGCUCGAUAUACGUUUGAGAGGACUUUCUUAUCAAAUGGGUCUUAUUGAAUAACAUUUGUGCAUCUAUAAACUUGAAUAACACUGGUACAAUUAGAGGAUUUUAAAUACUGUGGGUAUAUGUCAGAGGACUUUUUACAUAGACUGUCUUUCGAGCUCACCGUUUCUGCUUGCAGUAAACCUUAAAAAUAUUAAGUCAAUUAGAAAAUCUCCUUGUAUACAAUGUUUCUAGCGACAUUUUCUUCGGGACAAUCUGAAUCAUCAAUCAGAACCUUCAGGCCAUUUCGGUUUGUGACUCUAGAGAAUGCUACCGCCCUGUUUGGGGGAGCUUCUCCCAGCUGCAGCUUUUCCCAAAAGCUGCUUCUGCUAGAAGCUGCCUCAAACAGUCCACAGCUUCUGAGAAUCUGCAGUUAUAGAUUCUGAAAAAUGAACUAAGAAGCCAGAAGCUGGGUUUCAGAGCUUUUCCAGAUUCUCAAAAGCUGGCUACCAAACAGCUGCUUCUCGGAAUCUAAAGCUCCCCAAACAGGCCCCCAUGGCAGAAGACUUGUUUAGGACAAAUGGCCAGUUGGUGUCGCUCGGUGACAUGAUGAUUGGAAUUUCAACGUGUUGAGGAACUCGGUAGGAUACAUGUGCUCCAUGCUACUGUUGUUUGUCAUCGCUUUGCAAACGGUGUCACAGCUUAGCAAAAUGUAAGGUGGAGGCGGUGCAGUGGUUGGGUCACGGAUCGGCCAGGGUGGCGAGCCUGGGGGAAUCGGCGGGCAGGCAAAGGUUGGUUGACGCUGUUUUUCUUUUCAAUUCCUUUGCAUGAAUUAUAUGUUUGGAUGCUUCAUGUGCAAUCGGUUGCAAAAUUAGGUCUGUAUAUACAGAGAUGUGAUAAAAAAUCAUAAAUAAAAUAACAGAUUGCAUAGUAAUAUAUCUCAGUUUAUGCAUAUACAACAUUCGACUAUUAUAAUACAGUACAUGUAAUGAUCUGUAUUGACUAUGAACUAUUCUUUCUAGCUAGUAUCAUUAACUGUAGGAUAUUCUAUCGAGCUACUGCUAAUUAUGAACUAUUAUCAUGAGCUCUAAGCACUAUUUGUAUACUUAGAAUUCAUUUUCCUUGUUCUCUGAGGCCUUGUGUUGCAUGCUUUAUUGUCUGAUUGAACACAUGUUUUCUGACGUUUUUCAACAGAGCUUUCCUUGCCUAUGCCAUUGAUGGUUUUAGCCUAUCUUUUUCCUGCCUUGAUGGAUUCUUCAACAACUGAUUUGUUUAUUUCAUGGCUGUAGGUGUCAUUUCUGAUUUCCGCCUUUGUGGAUUUUGCAUGAGCGCCUUUUGCAUUUUUGCCUCGAACUUUUGCAUCUACGCAUUUUAUCAUACUUGUUUCAUUGCUCUCCUCUUCUGAAUCGUCUUCUAUUAUGUAUGACCUCCGUCUUAUUUGUUUGCAACUGGGAGGUUUGUCAGACGAAGUGAGUUCAUCUUCACUCGUGAUUUCCUGGUCACUAUCCUCUAGCUCUUGCUUCACGGGUAGCAGUGAGAUGGAUCUGUUUUUAAUAAGAGGGCCGCUGCUGGUUUGUUCCUGCAAAGGCAAUGAAGUAUUUGUCAUAUGUGCUAUAUAUUAUAAAUAAAUGAAAAUUUGUAUUAUAUGU